AGUCCAGCCGCAGGGGCCACCCGAACAGUCUCUCCUCCUCACAGAAGCCUGGAGCUGGGCAUCCAAGAAGAAGCAGCCUCAUUUGUUUUCUGGUGUCAUCGUAGGUGGCCACCUAUGGCUUUUGGGCUUCUCACCUGGGGCGGGUGGGUUCUGCACCACCCUCCCACCCUCCUUCCUCCGUGUGGACGAUAGAGCCACAUCCAGCACCACGGACAGCUCCCGGGCGAUCCCAUGGGAGUAGAAGAGGUGUGAGCAGGUUGCCCAGCUGGUUAGCGGAAAUGCCAAGAUCCAGGCUCCUGAAUUUCAGCCUGGCCCUUUCUAUCUGUCUGAUACCUCCUUUACGAGUCUCUCUGCCUGCGUUGUGUGGAGCGGGCCUGCUGCUGGUUGGGGGAGUUUGCAGGUUGCCCCUAUGCAAAAAAGGACAGGAUGCAUGACUGGCAUGUAAGGUGUUCAGGAAAACCAGGAAAAGGUGGAACAGACUGCUACCUCUGUCUGAAGUGGUUUGGAGGGAAGGCCUCAGGGACAGGGCAUACCUAGCAGUAGCUGGCAAGCCCAUGGGAGAAAAGGCAAGGGGGCAACCAUCUGCCAGGGCACAGAGGCCAGGGGAUGGCCACAAGGAGUCUCCAGAGGCCAGUGGGAGUCAUGCAAACUGGAACGGGGCCUGGGAAAGGCCCUUCUGUGUGCCCAGGCCUGCCUCCCCAACACCGUGAGCCUAGAAACAAAGGGGCCAUUCUCUCUAGGAUUUGAUGCUGCCAUCUCCGGCUGGCAGUGCCAGCCUUCAUCUCCUCGUCCUCCAGGCAGCACAAGCCAUUGUGGAAUCUCCACCAGGUGUACAGAACGGUGCCUCUGCGUCCUGCCACUCAGGACCUCUCAAGUCCCCGAUGUGAUGGCUCCUCAGCAUGAUCAGGAGUGAGCGUAAUUCAGACCUAUUUAGAUCCGUCAGCCCACGGACCAGGGGGACCUUGAGCAGGACAGUCUUUUGUCUCCAAGCAGUCAUUCCCUGUUAUACAAGCAAGAGUCAGGAGGAGGAAUGGUUUUGGCAUCAUCCCCCACAGACAGCAAUGGGGCCUUUAGGCCUGGAAGGAAGGACCAGGCUGCGGCUGGCAUAUGGAGGUUGAGCCCUGGGCACGGGGCAUCAGCUUCACCCGGCUGGGGAUGCCUUCUGCUGGGUUUGUCCAUCUGGCACCAGCUGGCUUCCCAGCACCGCCCCCACAACCAACCAGACUCCUCCUUCUGCUGUUGCCAUGGCAAUUGGCUGCCAUAUUGUACCUCAGAGCACUAGCUCCUAUCUGGAUUUUCCCGCGGGGUUCCUAGAGGGUGGGAGAUGGGUCUCCAGGGAUUUAUCCCUUUCCCCUGAUAUCUAUCCAAUAAAAAUUCAUAA
Molecule: long non-coding RNA, 1381 nt
Filed under: Homo sapiens (human)
Lineage: Eukaryota; Metazoa; Chordata; Mammalia; Primates; Hominidae
Description: MIR9-1 host gene
Source: RNAcentral